Molecule: ribosomal RNA, 1358 nt
Filed under: uncultured bacterium
Lineage: Bacteria
Description: bacterial SSU rRNA
Rfam family: Bacterial small subunit ribosomal RNA
Source: RNAcentral
GAUGAACGCUAGCUACAGGCUUAACACAUGCAAGUCGAGGGGCAGCAUGGUCUUAGCUUGCUAAGGCCGAUGGCGACCGGCGCACGGGUGAGUAACACGUAUCCAACCUGCCGUCUACUCUUGGACAGCCUUCUGAAAGGAAGAUUAAUACAAGAUGGCAUCAUGAGUCCACAUGUUCACAUGAUUAAAGGUAUUCCGGUAGACGAUGGGGAUGCGUUCCAUUAGAUAGUAGGCGGGGUAACGGCCCACCUAGUCUUCGAUGGAUAGGGGUUCUGAGAGGAAGGUCCCCCACAUUGGAACUGAGACACGGUCCAAACUCCUACGGGAGGCAGCAGUGAGGAAUAUUGGUCAAUGGGCGAGAGCCUGAACCAGCCAAGUAGCGUGAAGGAUGACUGCCCUAUGGGUUGUAAACUUCUUUUAUAAAGGAAUAAAGUCGGGUAUGGAUACCCGUUUGCAUGUACUUUAUGAAUAAGGAUCGGCUAACUCCGUGCCAGCAGCCGCGGUAAUACGGAGGAUCCGAGCGUUAUCCGGAUUUAUUGGGUUUAAAGGGAGCGUAGAUGGAUGUUUAAGUCAGUUGUGAAAGUUUGCGGCUCAACCGUAAAAUUGCAGUUGAUACUGGAUAUCUUGAGUGCAGUUGAGGCAGGCGGAAUUCGUGGUGUAGCGGUGAAAUGCUUAGAUAUCACGAAGAACUCCGAUUGCGAAAGCAGCCUGCUAAGCUGCAACUGACAUUGAGGCUCGAAAGUGUGGGUAUCAAACAGGAUUAGAUACCCUGGUAGUCCACACGGUAAACGAUGAAUACUCGCUGUUUGCGAUAUACAGCAAGCGGCCAAGCGAAAGCGUUAAGUAUUCCACCUGGGGAGUACGCCGGCAACGGUGAAACUCAAAGGAAUUGACGGGGGCCCGCACAAGCGGAGGAACAUGUGGUUUAAUUCGAUGAUACGCGAGGAACCUUACCCGGGCUUAAAUUGCAGAUGAAUUACGGUGAAAGCCGUAAGCCGCAAGGCAUCUGUGAAGGUGCUGCAUGGUUGUCGUCAGCUCGUGCCGUGAGGUGUCGGCUUAAGUGCCAUAACGAGCGCAACCCUUGUUGUCAGUUACUAACAGGUUCCGCUGAGGACUCUGACAAGACUGCCAUCGUAAGAUGUGAGGAAGGUGGGGAUGACGUCAAAUCAGCACGGCCCUUACGUCCGGGGCUACACACGUGUUACAAUGGGGGGUACAGAGGGCCGCUACCACGCGAGUGGAUGCCAAUCCCAAAAACCUCUCUCAGUUCGGACUGGAGUCUGCAACCCGACUCCACGAAGCUGGAUUCGCUAGUAAUCGCGCAUCAGCCACGGCGCGGUGAAUACGUUCCCGGGCCU